This is a long non-coding RNA of Mauremys reevesii (Reeves's turtle), 384 nucleotides long. RefSeq lists it as uncharacterized. The record is from RefSeq and is a predicted model, not a curated record. Lineage: Eukaryota; Metazoa; Chordata; Testudines; Geoemydidae. The transcript is spliced from 4 exons.
UUAUGACUUCAUCCUGGGAUCAAGCUGAAGGAGAAGCUGAGUUAAGAGGGAGAAAGAUGUGAUUAAAGCUAGAGUCGCCUCUGCAAUGGGCAGGGCAUUACAGGGAGAGGUAAAUGAGGUUUGUGGUAACCUAGUUCCAACCGUCAUAAGGCCCACGCACAGCAGGUCUUCAUAAUGAGAUGAGAUUGGCUUCCCCAACAGAAACAUCUGCAACAUUAGGGGUGCAUAAGAUGUCCUUAAAAUUCCCAAUGAAGCCACAUUCAGAUUUCUUCAGAGCAGGCAUGCCUCGGCUUCCUCAGACAGAUGCUCUCUCUGCAAGCCUGGUUUCUUUCUCGGCCAGCAAUCAACCGAAGCACCUGAACAUACAAUAAAAAACUACAUCAG